This is a long non-coding RNA of Bos taurus (domestic cattle), 998 nucleotides long. Lineage: Eukaryota; Metazoa; Chordata; Mammalia; Artiodactyla; Bovidae. The record is from Ensembl.
GAUUCUUUACCACUGAGCCUCUCCAUACUUCCUCCCAAUUCUCAGAAACAGGCCAGUCUUGUGGGUGAGCUCUUCACAGAGAAUACGCCAAGAAAUGGGCACUAAACACUGGAUACUAAGCCUGGAAGGACAGAGGACCUGGAGCAGGGCCCAGCUCUCCCAGCAUCCCUUCAAGUGGAGGCUCCAGACGCGCCAGCUCAGGAAGAGUCGUGCCCACAGGUUCUGGGAUCACAACAGCAUGGAGGUUGUUUUAUGCCACUAAGUCUGUGAUGAAACAAACUGAAUGUGUGCCUGUCGCAACAAAUAUUGGUUACACAAGUUGAAUGGAUGGCCUUACAAAGUAGGAGGAAUUUCAUCCCUCGCCCAAUCUCCACAUCCAGCAUCACUGCCGUCUUCUCAGCCAAACAGGAAUGCCUCUUCCCCUCUCACUGAAGUUUGUCUGUAUCUGUGCUUCCCUCCUCCCGGGCCUUCAGCCUGGGAUGUCCUUCACUGACCCCUUGAUGAACUUGCACCCCGUUAGCCUUUUAACAGUCAGCUCAGGCAUCACCUCUCCCAGCUGGAACCGCUUUACCUUCCCAUGAACUCCACCUGAGCCUGCCUGUAGCACUUCGCAUGGGUACCAGGGCCCGUGGAUGUCUGUAUCACCUCCGGAUGCGUGUCUCACCUCCUUCAUCCAUGUGAGAUUCUUGGGAGGACUGGGGCACCAUGUGCCCUGCUCACUUCUUUUCUAGUUUCACCAUCCCUGCCCAUGGGCAACCUCAGACACAGAGGGGUAUUGGGAGUUUGAGACCCUGGAGGCGGGGUUGGGAUAGGAGAAGAUGUCAGGAGAACCCCAUCCUCAGAUUCGGAUACCUACUAUAGUAGUGGCAGAAAGAAUACAGUUCUUGGAUCAGAGAAUCUGGGUCACCUCCUGGCUAAGUCUUCACCGAGGAAGCUUUAAAUUCUUUAAGCUUUGGUUUAUUCAUCUAUGAAAAUUCUUACAGUGCAAGGAUAUUGUG